Molecule: ribosomal RNA, 475 nt
Filed under: uncultured Paracoccaceae bacterium
Lineage: Bacteria; Pseudomonadati; Pseudomonadota; Alphaproteobacteria; Rhodobacterales; Paracoccaceae
Description: bacterial SSU rRNA
Rfam family: Bacterial small subunit ribosomal RNA
Source: RNAcentral
AUACGGAGGGUGCAAGCGUUAUCCGGAAUCACUGGGUUUAAAGGGUGCGUAGGCGGCCUGGUAAGUCAGAGGUGAAAUGCACGAGCUUAACUGGUGAAUUGCCUUUGAAACUAUCAAGCUAGAAUUAUGUUGAGGUCAGCGGAAUGAGUCAUGUAGCGGUGAAAUGCAUAGAUAUGACUUAGAACACCAAUUGCGUAGGCAGCUGGCUGGGCAUACAUUGACGCUGAGGUGCGAAAGUGUGGGGAGCAAACAGGAUUAGAUACCCUGGUAGUCCACACCGUAAACGAUGAAUGCCAGUCGUCGGGUAGUAUACUAUUCGGUGACACACCUAACGGAUUAAGCAUUCCGCCUGGGGAGUACGGUCGCAAGAUUAAAACUCAAAGGAAUUGACGGGGCCCGCACAAGCGGUGGAGUAUGUGGUUUAAUUCGAUGCAACGCGAAGAACCUUACCAGGGUUUGACAUCCUGCGAACCUC